AUUGAACGCUGGCGGCAGGCUUAACACAUGCAACUCGAGCGGGGUGAUGGUGCUUGCACUAUCACUUAGCGGCGGACGGGUGAGUAAUGCUUUGGAAUCUGCCUAUUAGGGGGGGACAACAUCUCGAAAGGGAUGCUAAUACCGCAUACGUCCUACGGGAGAAAGCAGGGGAUCACUUGUGACUCUGCGCUAAUCGCUGAGCCUAAGUCGGAGUAGCUAGUUGGUGGGGUAAAUGCCUACCAAGGCGACGAUCUGUAGCGGGUCUGAGAGGAUGAUCCGCCACACUGGGACUGAGACACGGCCCAGACUCCUACGGGAGGCAGCAGUGGGGAAUAUUGGACAAUGGGGGGAACCCUGAUCCAGCCAUGCCGCGUGGGUGAAGAAGGCCUUAUGGUUGUAAAGCACUUUAAGCGAGGAGGAGGCUCUUUUGGUUAAUACCCAAGAUGAGUGGACGUUACUCGCAGAAUAAGCACCGGCUAACUCUGUGCCAGCCGCCGCCGUAA
This 503-nucleotide ribosomal RNA is filed under the name uncultured bacterium. Its description in RNAcentral is "partial 16S ribosomal RNA". It matches the Rfam family "Bacterial small subunit ribosomal RNA", at positions 30 to 523 of the family's 1533-position model. The record is from RNAcentral.